Acinonyx jubatus (cheetah) is the source of this 6665-nucleotide long non-coding RNA. RefSeq lists it as uncharacterized. NCBI's taxonomy places the organism in Eukaryota, Metazoa, Chordata, Mammalia, Carnivora, Felidae. The transcript has 2 exons. The record is from RefSeq and is a predicted model, not a curated record.
GGAUAUUCUUUCCUGCUUUUUUGAAGAUGAGUUAACCAUAUAGCUGUGGGUACAUUUCUGGGUUUUCUCUUCUGUUCCAUUGUUCUGUGUGUCUGUUUUUGUGCCAUUACCAGACUGUCUUGAUGACUAGAGCUUUGUAAUAUAAGCUUGAAUUCUGGAAUUGUGGUGCUUUCAGUUUUUUAUUUUUCAGGAUUGCUUUCGCUAUUCAUGGUCUUUUGUGGUUCUCCACAAAUUUUAGGAAUGUUUGUUGUAGCUCUGUGAAAAAUGCUGGUGGUGUUUUGGUAGGGAUUGCAUUAAAUGUGUAGAUUGCUUUGGGUAAUAUAGACAUUUUAAAAUAAUGUUUGUUCUUCCGAUCCAUGAGCACGGAAUGUUUUUCCAUUUCUUUGUAUCCACUUGAUUUUCUUUUAUAAGUGUUCUAUAGUUUUCAGAGUAUAGAUCAUUACCUCUUUAGUUAGCUUCAUUCCUAGGUAUCUUACUGUUUUUGGUGUAGUUGCAAGUGGAUUGAUUCCUUGAUCUCUUUUUCUGAGACUUCAUUAGUGUAUAGAAAUGCAACAGAUUUCUGCAUGUUAAUUAAAAAAAUUUUUUUUAAUGUUUAUUUAUUUUUGAGAGACAGAAAAAGUGUGAGCAGGGAGGGGAAGAGAGAGCAGGAGACACAGAAUCCAAGGCAGGCUCCAGGCUCUGAGCUGUUAGCACAGAGCCUGAUGUGGGGCUUGAACCCACGAAUUGCAAGAUCAUGACCUGAGCCAAAGUCAUAUGCUUAACUGACUGAGCCACCCUGGCGCCUCUGCAUGUUGAUUUUAUAUCCUAUGACUUUGCUGAGUUCAUGUAUUAAUUCUAGCAAUUUUUUGGUGGAGUCUAUCGGGUUUUCUACAUAGAGAAUCAUGUCGUCUGCAAAUAGUGAAAGUUUGACUUCUUCCUUGCCAAAUUGGUUGCCUUUUAUUUGUUGUCCGAUUGCUGAGGCUAAGACUUCCAGUACUACGUUAAAUAGUAAUGGUGAGAGUGGACAUCCUUGUCUUGUUCCUGAACAUAGGGGAAAGGCUCUCAGUUUUUCCCCAUUGAGGAUGGUAUUAGCUGUGGGUCUUUCAUAUAUGACCUUUAUGAUGUUGAGGUAUGUUCUGUUUAUCCCUACCUUGUUGAAGGUUUUUAUCAAGACUGAUUGCUGUAUUUUGUCAAAUAUUGAUUGAUUUUUGUAUGGUGAACUAUCUUUGCAUUACAAAGUUAAAUCCCACUAGUCAUAGUAUAUAAUCCUUUUAAUGUGCUGCUGAAUCUGGUUUGCUAGUAUAUUGUUGAAGAUUUUUUGCAUCUAUAUUUAUAAGGGAUAUCGGCCUAUAGUUUUCUUGUACUGUCUUUGUCUGGCUUUGGCAUCAGGGUAAUGCUAACAUAUAGAAUGAGUUAGGCAGUGUUCCUUCUUCCUCAGUGUUUUGGAAGAGUUUGAGAAAUUUUGGUAUUCUUUAAUAGUUGCUAGAAUUCACCACUGAAGCCAUUUCAUCCUGGGCUUUUCUUUAUUGUAAUUUACUACUUUAUUUUGUGUUAAUCAAAUACUUGGCUGUAUUCCAUUUUAUUUUGUCUGUGGAUGUUUUACAUUAUUUUUGUAGGACUUCCACUAGGGAUUACAACAUGCCUCUUGAACUAAGCACAGUCUACCAUGCGUUAAAUUAUUUCGGGUGAAAUAUUAGCUUCUUUGAAGUCACUGCUAAAUCCCACAUAUGAGCUCACUCAUUGAGUCCACUUUUAUUGACUGCCUUCUUUUCUCCCAUGAGUAUGGGUCAUACGCUCAUUUCUUUGCAUGUGAAGUAAUUCUUGAAAAAGUGGAUAUUGUGGAUAAUACAUUAUAGUCAUUCUAGAUUUUGUUAUGUUCUUUGAGGUUUGCUUUUUUGUUGUUGUUUUAGCUGGCAGAUAACUUGUCUCAAGCUAUAGAUUCUUUCCCCUCAUGCUCGGUUGUUUUUGUCUCUACUUAGUCUUUUAGUUUAUGGCUCUUGUGUUUGUAUGCUGGUGCUUGAUGGAUAUCCCCUGUACCUCUGUAGUUAGCUGUUAUGAAGAAUUUUGGCAGAGUUGAUAUUAAGAUUGUGGGCCUCACCUCUAUGCAUUUUUUUUUCUUUCAGAGUUUUUUCCCUAAAUUUACAGCUGCUCUCUCAGCUGUAAGCUCUGUCCACUGACACUUCAAUCUAAUAAGGCCACAGCUUUCUGCUGCUUGAGCUGUGUGCUAUUUGGGGGGUGCCAAAAAGGGCAGUAAACGUACAUAUCUUACCAGUCUUUUAGGGCAGACUCCGCUCUGAUAUUUGCAUGUCUUACUCGGCAUCCCUUUGGAUCUUGCCUCUGCUCGUGUAUUUCAGUGGUGCGCCAGGGAUGUGGGUCUUGCUCCUUCUGUGGCUCUGUUGCUUUUAGAAUGUCUCUCCUGAAACUUGUGGUGAAAAUGUCUGCCCUGAUUCCUGUCCUCUGCAACCUCCAGAUUGUAAGCCUGUAUUUUUCUGCCCCAGGAGCUGUGGAUACAGGAAUUAGGGGUGUUGGUGGGAGUAAUGGUGCUGAGUGCCCUGAGGCAAAAAAGCCCAAAGUUGUAAUUCUUAACCAUUGCAUUUCUGUAUUUCAAAGGUAAACCUUCUCUAGUCUGUUCCUGUCUAUGGUCACUUUUCAUUGCCCUCAGAUAGUGUGUUUUGAAAUCUAGUUUACCUAGAUUUAGAAAUUAUCUUCAGGAAACCAUGCCUGACCAACUCAUUCUGCCGUUAAUGGAAGCUAGAUUAAUAAGUAUUUGCCUGUGUCUCAUAUGCAAAGUCCAUAAAAUUGAACAAGCAUUUUAAAUUUGAAUUACCUUGAGAAAACUGUGUAGGUUGAGAAUUCUUUUAGUUGCUUUUAGUUUUUAGGUAUAAUUAGGGGUAAUGAUAAAUGCAGGACCUAAAUAUUAUGUAUAUGAAAUCUCGGGUAUUCCAAAUAAUGAAUGGAUGCAAGAAUGUUUAAGAGAGUCUAAGUAACCCCCAAACCUAGAACAAUAAAUUUUGGCCAUGAUAAUAACUAUUUAAAUAGAUGGAUUCCCUGAUAGUCGUCAUGUUUAAUGAAGGUUGCUCAGCAUUUGGAAUUCUAAUGUGUUUGAGCCUAAUAACUUAUACAGUUUAGUCAAAGGAUAGUGACACACUCUGUGGUUUGGUUUCUGACUUCAAGUCAGAGUAGCUUAAUAAGUAUGAUGUGGUAGGCACAGAUUUAAUGGGCUUCCAAAGACGUUUACUUCCUAGUCCCUGGAACCUAUGAAUGUAUUACUUUACAUGGCAAAGGGACUUUGCAAAUGUGAUUAAGGUUAUGGACCUUGAGAUUGGAAGAUUAUUCUGGAUUAUCCAGGUGGGUCCAUUCUAAAUACAUGAGUUCUUAAAAGUAGAACAGGAAGGCCUAAGAGUGGUCAGAGUAAUGCAGUAAUGGCAGAAGAGGCAGCAGAGAUUUGAAGUAUGCAAGUACUUAAUCAGAGUCGAUGGCUUUGAAAAUAAAGGAAGGGGGCCAUGUGCCAAGACAUGGAAAUGUCUUCUAGAAGCUGGGAACUGUCCUUAGUUGACAGCCAACAGGGAAGUGAGGACGACCUCAGUCCUACAACCAGAAGGAACUAAAUUCUGCCAACAACUUGAAUGAGCAAAGAAACACAUUCUCCCCUAGAGCCUCAAGAAAGGGAUGCAGGUAUGCCAACACCUUGAUUUUAUUAGCCCACUGGGACCCACUUUGGAUUUCUUUUUUGUUUGUUUUCUUCUAAUAUUUAUUUAUUUUGGGAGAGAGAGAAAGAGUAAGUGUGCAAGUGGGGGAAGAGGUAGAGAGAGAGGGAGAGAGAAUCUCAAGCAGUCUUCAUGUUAGUCAGCACAGAGCCUAGCGUGGGUCUUGAUCCCAUGAACCAUGAGAUCAUGACCUGAGCUGAAGUCAGGUGUCAGAUGCUUGGGGCGCCUGGGUGGCUCAGUUGGUUAAGCGUCUGACUUCAUCUCAGGUCAUGAUUUUGUGGUUUGUGGGUUCGAGCCCCACAUUGGGCUCUGCACUGUCAUUGCAGAGCCCACUUUGGAUCCUCUGUCUCCCUUUCUCUCUCUGCCCCUUCCACACACACUCUCUCUCUUGAAAAUAAACAUUAAAAAAAAAAAAGUCAGAUGCUUAACCAACUGAGCCACCCAGGUGUCCUCCACUUUGGAUUUCUAACCUCCAGAACUGUAAGAUAAUAAAUUAGUAGUUUUCAAGCCUCUAAGUUUGUGGUAAUUGUUAUGCAGCAAAUAAGAAAUUAAUACAUAUAGCAUCUGUACCAAAUCAAUUAUCUGAAAGGAAAGUUACUUGUUCUGUAGGAAAGAGAAUGACUGAUCUUUAAAAGUCUGCUCUAGGAAGACAUUAGAGUCAAAACAAAGUAAAAUAUGCCCCCACUCACUCACCCACCCACCCGUAGUGUUUUAAUGAAUCAUGUCUUUCCUCAUGGAAGAAGAAAGUGCCAGAGUUAUAUGAUUUUUUUUAUUGGUAGGGAACAGACAACUUUCUUAUAUGCAGGUACACAAUGUUAACUGGUGGUUUUAAAGUAGGCAGCUGCAGUGGGAUCCUGCUUGUAAAAUAUGCCGCCGACUCUCCUGAUAUCAUGGCUAGUGAUACAUUUUGUCCCCCUGUUGCUCUUAAAAAACAAGUAAUGGCCUCAAGUCCUAUUAAAGAUUCUUACAGUCAGAUAAUUUGGGAAUCAAAGAAAACUUUUUAUUCUAACUAGAUUUAUAUAUUUAGCUCUAUGCUGGUGCAUAUGUUUUAAACCCUACUUUGUGCUUAUUUUUAAGACUGUUUUAGAGUUAUGCAGAUUGAUAAAGUCCAUUCUUGGUCUUUGGGACAUACAUAGGUUGUUUUUCCCAGAUCUGAUUACAGAUGUGUGGUGGAGUCUGGUUAUGAGUCAUGGGUAACCAGUCAUCUUAAUUUCUAACAUAUGUAAGAAUAAUAGGAUCUCAACGCAUGAGCAGAGUGUUUUCUAUAAAGUGUCCUAUUAUGGUUAGUGGUUCCUAAUCAUGUUUAUUUUAAACUAUGUUCUGAGGAGUCCUAGGUAUUUGGAUGUAGGGAUUGUUGAGUUUCUUGACUGAUCCCUUAAUUUAACUUUAUUGAGAGUAAUCUGCUUUUAUCUUAUUUAUAAAUUUGGGUUUGGUAAAAUAAUUUGUUUGAAAAAGUUAAAUUGCUAAAAGAAGUUUGAAAAUUGAAGUCAUGCUAUUUCUUGGGAGAUGUAUUAGAUCAUUGAAUGAUCUACAGAAUCCAAAUCUUUGCUUGGCAGAGACUUGAGGAAGAGUUAUAUCUUGGGACGGAGUGGAGAGCAUAAAUGGUUAAAACACAUACCUACAGUUUCAAGAGUAAUAAAAUGGUGUUUUAUUGGGAUGUGCUGUAUGAUAACCUGCAUCUUCCAGCUUGAUCCAGUUACUUUUUGGGGAUGGACGGCUAUCUACGAUGAUGAUCUCUUCCUUGGAAGGUAGAGGAGAGAAGUAACCUCUCUGGGUUUUCUCCAGCUGUGAUAAUUGCUUGACAGAGGGUUAAGAAUUGAGAGAAUGUAUUUUGCUUGUUUCUUUUGUUUUUAAUGUCUGUUUAUUUAUUUUGAGAGAGAGAGAGAGAGAGAGAGAGAGAGAGAGAGAGAGAAUAUCCCAAAUAGGCUCUGUGCUGUCAACGCAGGGCUCAAUCUCACUGAUCUGUGAGAUCAUGACCUGAGCCUAAAUCAAGUCAGAUGCUUAAUUGACUGAGUCACCCAGGCGUCCUUUGUUGCUUUCUUUAACAGGUUUGCAGAUACUUAAGAAUAGUCACCUAAUAGAGACUUUCCACCUACAACUAAAUAAUGCAGUUGAUAUUUUAGAGUGAGCUAAUUAUUCAGCAAAAAUAAAAACUAAAAGGAUUAGUUUAGAAGAUUUCUACUGAGGGUAAAUGACUUAUGAAUAAAUCUUGUUAAAUGGGUACACAUAGGCUACGUAAUGUAAUGUAAUAACCAGAAUAACAAAAUAUUCAUCAAGUUUUCCUUCAUCAAAGUAACUUUACUAACACUUGAGAGAUUUUAAAACCUCAUAAAAUUAUACCAUAAAAGAUCUUAACUGUUCCUGCUAUAAAAUUAAAAGAACUUAGGCUUUGAAACCAUCUAGACAUUGGUUUAAAUGCCAUUUCUGUCUGUCAUGAUAACUGUGUGAAUUUCAACAAGUGAACUUCACUGUUAGGUUUCAAAGGACUGUAGGGUAGAUUUAAUGAGUCAGAGUUUUUAGAUUGCCUUUCACCUUGCUUAGCAUAUAAUAGAUCCCCCAAAUAUUGCUUUCUUCUUAUUUUUCUUUCUUUAGAAAUGGAAGUAAAGAGCAAAUUUGCAUGGUAGUUUAAAGGUCACAUUGGGUAUACAUCUUCAUUUGUGGUUGUCUUAUGUUGUAACAUAUAAAAAUACUUUUUUUUUCAAAAAUCACAUCAUACAAUGUACAUUUAUUGUGCAUUUUUUUCUGAUAACAAGAUAUUUAAAUAUUACUGUAAAGGUUUUCAAUUUAGAGAUGAGUACUGGAGGAGAAUAAAAAACAUUUAAGAAUGGGUGCCUGGGUAGCUCAGUAGGUUGAGCAUCUGACUCUUGAUUUUGGUUCAGGUCAUGAUCCCAGGGUUGUGGGACUGAGCCCUGCCUUGGGCUCCAUGCUGAGCACAGAGUCUGCUUAAGAUUCUCUCUACCCACCUCCCUACCCACCCCC